AUGGCCGGAAUUGUCAACAAGGAGUUUCCUGAGUUGGCCUAGACAGGGUUGAACUACCUAUCAUGGUCCUUGGACUGCAAGAUUUUUCUCCAGGGCAAAACCCUUCUAAGGGCGAUUGGUAAGGGGGCCCAGCUGGCCGCCACUGAUCCCAAGUUCGAAACUGAGAAUGCGCAGGCUCUGCACUUUCUCCGUCAUCACCUGUCACCUACUCUGAAAGAUGAGUAUAUGGCUGAGCGCAGUGCUUCUGGCCUUUGGACCGCUCUUAAGCAGCGGUUUGAGCGGCUAAAGUACACUGUGAAGCCACUUGGAGAGGCAGAGUGGAUCCCUCUGAGCUAGACGAUUGAGAAAACCCUAUCCACUUUCCACCCUGAUGCGGUCUAGUCCUCACGGAACUACCGCCAGGGGAACUACAUGAGGUAUUCAGAGUUGAUUGACGUCCUCCAGGUGGCGGAGGCGCAGGACGAGGUUCUCAAAAAUAACUUUGUCGCGCAACCACUUGGGGAGGUGAACGCUCUCAAAGUCCGCAAGCCUCAACAGAAUAAGAGGGGCCCUAAGAAGAACAAGCCAGGCAAGGGAGGGCAAAGGCCUCAGGACUGCUUUCGUUGUGGCUCGGUGGAGCAUUUCUCCCGCCAGUGCCGCGCACCACCGGAGGUCGUCGAAGCAUGCAAGGCUCGGAAGGUGCAUGAGACGCACCUCGCCUUGGUUCAGGAGGGAGCACCACCGGCGCCCAUGGCGGCACCUGUGAUGAUCUCUACGCCCCUGCUGGGCCCAUAG
RNAcentral lists this ribosomal RNA (774 nucleotides) under Triticum aestivum (bread wheat). RNAcentral describes it as "partial small subunit ribosomal RNA". Lineage: Eukaryota; Viridiplantae; Streptophyta; Magnoliopsida; Poales; Poaceae. The record is from RNAcentral.